Non-coding RNA from Hydra vulgaris (swiftwater hydra), 693 nucleotides. Lineage: Eukaryota; Metazoa; Cnidaria; Hydrozoa; Anthoathecata; Hydridae. The record is from RefSeq and is a predicted model, not a curated record.
CUAAUAUAAUAAUAAGAUACUAUUAAUCUGUGUUUUGUUUUUAGAGAUCUGUGUAAAUUUAUGAUUAACAACCGAAAUUACAAUACUUGAACAAAUGUUAAUUUUUGACAAAAUUACGCUGCAUCUUCCAUAUAAUGGUUCAACUAAAUCUAGUUUUGACCUGGGCUUCUGUGAAUGGAUUGUGGAUGGUAUUAAAACUAGUUUAUCUUUUAAAAUAAAAUCCUUUAAAAGGACAUAUACAGUAGGUGUAACGUGAUUUGGAAUGAAUACACACUUGCAGGAUUUUUCACAUAAAUCUCAUCUGGUACCUCCAUGAUACAUUUCUUUUCUUGGCGCCCCUCGGACAUCUGCCGCCCGGGACAAACUGUCCCUUUCGCCCCACCCUCUCGGCGGCACUGAUUUCCUGUAGGAUGCCUGUUAGAAAAACUGAAGAACUGAAAGAAGAAACUUUUAAACUGAUGUUGGGAACUGUAGAAGUUACUGUUAUACAUAGUAUCAUAUCAAGGCUCCAGUUCUCUAUGCUUGUUAGUUAUAUGCAAGAUAUGGCAUAGUAUAGCACACUGCAUGUGUAAAAAUGGAUGAAAGCACUAAAGAAGCAAAACAAUACAAAUUAAAGAAGAAUUUUGUCAUGCGAUCACGGUUGCAAUAUGAGAACUACCGUAACAGAAUAUAUUUAUUGUCGAACAGUUUUGA